RNAcentral lists this ribosomal RNA (328 nucleotides) under uncultured eukaryote. Its description in RNAcentral is "partial 18S ribosomal RNA". It matches the Rfam family "Eukaryotic small subunit ribosomal RNA", at positions 1470 to 1796 of the family's 1831-position model. The record is from RNAcentral.
CCCUUAGAUGUUCUGGGCCGCACGCGCGCUACACUGUUCGGCGCAGCGAGUCUUAACCUUGACCGAAAGGUUUGGGUAAUCUUCAGCAAAGUCGAACGUGAUGGGGAUCGAUCAUUGCAAUUAUUGAUCGUGAACGAGGAAUUCCUAGUAAGCGUGAGUCAUCAGCUCGCGUUGAUUACGUCCCUGCCCUUUGUACACACCGCCCGUCGCUACUACCGAUUGAAUGGCUUAGUGAGCCUUUGGGAUUGGCAGCCAACACCGGCAACGGUAGCUGGCCGCCGAAAACUUAUGCAAACUUGGUCAUUUAGAGGAAGUAAAAGUCGUAACA